AGUAACACGUGGAUAACCUGCCCUCAGGUCUGGAAUAACCCCGGGAAACUGGGGAUAAUACCGGAUAACGCAUAUAUGCUGGAAUGCUUUCUGCGUCAAAGGUCCGCCGCCUGAGGAUGGGUCUGCGGCCUAUCAGGUAGUAGCGGGUGUAAUGUACCUGCUAGCCGACGACGGGUACGGGUUGUGAGAGCAAGAGCCCGGAGAUGGAUUCUGAGACAUGAAUCCAGGCCCUACGGGGCGCAGCAGGCGCGAAAACUUUACAAUGCGGGCAACCGUGAUAAGGGGACACCGAGUGCCAGCAACAUUUGCUGGCUGUCCAGGUGCGUACAAUGCACCUGUUAGCAAGGGCCGGGCAAGACCGGUGCCAGCCGCCGCGGUAACACCGGCGGCCCGAGUGGUGAUCGUUAUUAUUGGGUCUAAAGGGUCCGUAGCCGGUUUGGUCAGUCCUCCGGGAAAUCUGUCAGCUCAACUGAUAGGCUAUCGGGGGAUACUGCCAGACUUGGAACCGGGAGAGG
This 515-nucleotide ribosomal RNA is filed under the name uncultured archaeon. RNAcentral's name for it is "bacterial SSU rRNA". It matches the Rfam family "Archaeal small subunit ribosomal RNA", at positions 92 to 608 of the family's 1478-position model. The record is from RNAcentral.